AUCAUACUCUCUCCGUCCCAAUUUUUUUUUCUUAGAUUUGUUUAGAUAUGAAUNUAUCUAGUCAUGUUUUAGUAUUUUGAUAGAUCCAUUUCUAAACAAAUCUAAGACAAAUUUUUUGAAACGGAGGGAGUAUAAU
This is a non-coding RNA of Hordeum vulgare subsp. vulgare (domesticated barley), 136 nucleotides long. The record is from Rfam. NCBI's taxonomy places the organism in Eukaryota, Viridiplantae, Streptophyta, Magnoliopsida, Poales, Poaceae.